RNAcentral lists this unclassified non-coding RNA (219 nucleotides) under plant metagenome. RNAcentral's name for it is "partial contains small subunit ribosomal RNA, internal transcribed spacer 1, and 5.8S ribosomal RNA". The record is from RNAcentral.
UUUCCGUAGGUGAACCUGCGGAAGGAUCAUUACAGAGUUCAUGCCCUCACGGGUAGAUCUCCCACCCUUGAGUAUUUAUACCUUAGUUGCUUUGGCAGGCCGUGGAAACACCAUGGGCUCCGGCUAUGCGUGCCUGCCAGAGGAAACAAACUCUGUUUUUAGUGAUGUCUGAGUACUAUAUAAUAGUUAAAACUUUCAACGACGGAUCUCUUGGUUCUG